This 153-nucleotide transfer RNA is filed under the name Verrucomicrobiota bacterium. RNAcentral describes it as "Verrucomicrobia bacterium (groundwater metagenome) tRNA-Pro". Lineage: Bacteria; Pseudomonadati; Verrucomicrobiota. The record is from RNAcentral.
CGGGCUGUAGCGUAGCCUGGUAGCGCGCUUGCAUGGGGUGCAAGAGGUCGUGAGAUUGUGCGCCUCCGGCGCAUUCGAAUGCGCCAGAGGCGCAAAAGCCCGCCGGAGGCGGACAAGCUUGCCUGCCUCUGGCAGGUCUCACCAGCCCGACCA